This 789-nucleotide long non-coding RNA is filed under the name Homo sapiens (human). Its description in RNAcentral is "HSALNT0381337". The record is from RNAcentral. Lineage: Eukaryota; Metazoa; Chordata; Mammalia; Primates; Hominidae.
CCCACCCCAAAUUCACAUGUUGAAGCCCUAACCUCCAAUGUGAUGGUAUUUGGAGAUGGGGCCUUUGGAAGGUAAUUAAGGCUAGAUAGGGUCACAAGGUUGGUCCCCUUAUGAUGGCAUUUGUGUUCUUAUACAAAGAGACAGGAGACUCUCUCCAUCAUGUGAAGAUACAGCAAAACAGCAGCUGUCUGCAAGCCAGGAAGGGAACCCUCACCAGGAACCAAACCAUGAUCUCGGACGUCCCAGCCUCUAGGAACGCCUUUCCAUCUUCCUAGAGUGCCUAACCUGGCCUGUGUGCUUGUAAGCUUCUGCUCAUUCUUCAAUACCCAGCAGAGACUUCCUCCUCCAUGCAGCCUUCCAAGACCCACCUGAGUACAGAUCAGAUACCAUCAGCAUAAUGUCAUCAAUGCAGUGGACCAGUGUGACAUGGGGAACAUAAAGAUGGUCACGAUUUUUGCAGACUCCAUAUGCAAAGUAUUAUAGGCCUUUCCAUCUAUCCGGAGUGACCUACCAGAGACAGGACAGUUUGACCAGCAAGCUUCUGAUCACUCUUCAACACCCAGCAAGAAGUCUUAUCCUCCAUGCAGCCUUCUAAGACCUCUCUAAGCACAGGUAUCAGAUCCUCCUCUGGAUCACUCUGUCUUGUUACUGCAUUUAUCUCACUGGAUUUCAGUGACGUGUGUAGACAACUAAUUUGUGCCUGCCUGAUCUGUGAGCUCUUCAUUCAAAGCAGUUGGCUCCUGAGUACAGGAUAAACCCCUAGAAUUGAAUAAAUUUGGUCUUACCUCA